RNAcentral lists this ribosomal RNA (270 nucleotides) under uncultured archaeon. Its description in RNAcentral is "partial 16S ribosomal RNA". It matches the Rfam family "Archaeal small subunit ribosomal RNA", at positions 477 to 747 of the family's 1478-position model. The record is from RNAcentral.
CAGCACCUCAAGUGGUCAGGAUGAUUAUUGGGCCUAAAGCAUCCGUAGCCGGCUCUGUAAGUUUUCGGUUAAAUCUGUACGCUCAACGUACAGGCUGCCGGGAAUACUGCAGAGAUAGGGAGUGGGAGAGGUAGACGGUACUCGGUAGGAAGGGGUAAAAUCCUUUGAUCUAUUGAUGACCACCUGUGGCGAAGGCGGUCUACCAGAACACGUCCGACGGUGAGGGAUGAAAGCUGGGGGAGCAAACCGGAUUAGAUACCCGAGUAGUCU